AUUGAACGCUGGCGGCAGGCCUAACACAUGCAAGUCGAACGGUAGCACAAAGGAGCUUGCUCCUUGGGUGACGAGUGGCGGACGGGUGAGUAAUGUCUGGGAAACUGCCUGAUGGAGGGGGAUAACUACUGGAAACGGUAGCUAAUACCGCAUAACGUCGCAAGACCAAAGAGGGGGACCUUCGGGCCUCUUGCCAUCAGAUGUGCCCAGAUGGGAUUAGCUAGUAGGUGGGGUAAUGGCUCACCUAGGCGACGAUCCCUAGCUGGUCUGAGAGGGUGACCAGCCAAACUGGAACUGAGACACGGUCCAGGCUCCUUCGGGAGGCAGCAGUGGGGAAUAUUGCACAAUGGGCGCAAGACUGAUGCAGCCAUGCCGCGUGUAUGAAGAAGGACUUCGGGUUGUAAAGUACUUUCAGCGGGGAGGAAGGUGAUACGGUUAAUAACCGUGUCAAUUGACGUUACCCGCAGAAGAAGCACCGGCUAACUCCGUGCCAGCCGCCGCCGUAA
Molecule: ribosomal RNA, 506 nt
Filed under: uncultured bacterium
Lineage: Bacteria
Description: partial 16S ribosomal RNA
Rfam family: Bacterial small subunit ribosomal RNA
Source: RNAcentral